GACGAACGCUGGCGGCGUGCUUAACACAUGCAAGUCGAACGGAAAGGCCCUGCUUUUGUGGGGUGCUCGAGUGGCGAACGGGUGAGUAACACGUGAGUAACCUGCCCUUGACUUUGGGAUAACUUCAGGAAACUGGGGCUAAUACCGGAUAGGAGCUCCUGCUGCAUGGUGGGGGUUGGAAAGUUUCGGCGGUUGGGGAUGGACUCGCGGCUUAUCAGCUUGUUGGUGGGGUAGUGGCUUACCAAGGCUUUGACGGGUAGCCGGCCUGAGAGGGUGACCGGCCACAUUGGGACUGAGAGACGGCCCAGACUCCUACGGGAGGCAGCAGUGGGGAAUAUUGCACAAUGGGCGGAAGCCUGAUGCAGCAACGCCGCGUGCGGGAUGACGGCCUUCGGGUUGGAAACCGCUUUAGCCUGUGACGAAGCGGGAGUGACGGUAAUGGGUAAAGAAGCACCGGCUAACUACGUG
Molecule: ribosomal RNA, 468 nt
Filed under: uncultured bacterium
Lineage: Bacteria
Description: partial 16S ribosomal RNA
Rfam family: Bacterial small subunit ribosomal RNA
Source: RNAcentral